Molecule: non-coding RNA, 75 nt
Organism: Myotis brandtii (Brandt's bat)
Lineage: Eukaryota; Metazoa; Chordata; Mammalia; Chiroptera; Vespertilionidae
Source: Rfam
GGUGGUUCUCGGGUGAUGCACCCCAGAAUCAAGCUCCGUCCUCUCUGGUUCCGGGUGCGUCCCCCGAGAACCACA